RNAcentral lists this ribosomal RNA (253 nucleotides) under uncultured bacterium. Its description in RNAcentral is "partial 16S ribosomal RNA". It matches the Rfam family "Bacterial small subunit ribosomal RNA", at positions 524 to 776 of the family's 1533-position model. The record is from RNAcentral.
UACGUAGGGUGCGAGCGUUAAUCGGAAUUACUGGGCGUAAAGCGUGCGCAGGCGGUUGUGCAAGACAGAUGUGAAAGCCCCGGGCUUAACCUGGGAACUGCAUUUGUGACUGCACAGCUGGAGUGCGGCAGAGGGGGAUGGAAUUCCGCGUGUAGCAGUGAAAUGCGUAGAUAUGCGGAGGAACACCGAUGGCGAAGGCAAUCCCCUGGGCCUGCACUGACGCUCAUGCACGAAAGCGUGGGGAGCAAACAGG